Long non-coding RNA from Melitaea cinxia (Glanville fritillary), 436 nucleotides. RefSeq lists it as uncharacterized. NCBI's taxonomy places the organism in Eukaryota, Metazoa, Arthropoda, Insecta, Lepidoptera, Nymphalidae. The record is from RefSeq and is a predicted model, not a curated record. The transcript has 2 exons.
UUCUGAACAACACUUACCAUUUGCGGCAGACAAUUCGCUUGAUGAAGAAAUUUCGCGAUGCUCAAAAAAUGGAUAAAAUAGCAAGUUACUACAUUAAAACACUUUUCUUGUGGGAGUAUCUAGAAUUACAAGCAAGUGGUCGAAGCGAUAUGUGGGAAAAGAGUGAUAUUACGACGUUAUUCAAGCACAUGUUAAAAAAAUUCAAUGCUGCUCUCGAUAAGAAGGAAAUUCUCUACUUUUGGAAUAGACGCCAUAAUAUGAUUGAGAAUGUUCAUCAGAGUAUAAUUAAUGAGUAUAAAUGCAAAGUUACAAGACUUUUAUCCAUAAUGGAUGAUUCAUGGAGAUAUAAAGAAGUGGCGAAAUAUCUUUUGACCGAUGACGAAUACGAGGAGUAUAAAAGAUUCCUCUUUUAAUCAAUAAAAUCUAAAUCAUUUUA